GACGAGGGAUCCUAGCGUUGUUCGGAAUCAUUGGGCGUAAAGAGGGCGUAGGUGGCCUUGUAAGUCAGGUGUGAAAGCCCUGGGCUCAACCCAGGAAGCGCAUUUGAUACUGCUUGGCUUGAGUGUGGGAGAGAUUAGUGGAAUUCCUGGUGUAGUGGUGAAAUACGUAGAUAUCAGGAGGAACACCGGUGGCGAAAGCGGCUAAUUGGCCUGACACUGACACUGAAGCCCGAAAGCGUGGGGAUCAAACAGG
This 253-nucleotide unclassified non-coding RNA is filed under the name uncultured Pseudobdellovibrionaceae bacterium. RNAcentral's name for it is "uncultured Bdellovibrionaceae bacterium contains 16S-23S intergenic spacer region". It matches the Rfam family "Bacterial small subunit ribosomal RNA", at positions 524 to 776 of the family's 1533-position model. The record is from RNAcentral. Lineage: Bacteria; Pseudomonadati; Bdellovibrionota; Bdellovibrionia; Bdellovibrionales; Pseudobdellovibrionaceae.